GACGAACCGAGCGAACGUUGUUCGGAAUUACUGGGCGUAAAGCGCGUGUAGGCUGCCCUGCAAGUCGGAUGUGAAAGCCCUGGGCUCAACCUAGGAAGUGCAUUCGAAACUGCAGGGCUGGAGUCCUGGAGAGGAAGGCGGAAUUCUCGGUGUAGAGGUGAAAUUCGUAGAUAUCGAGAGGAACACCGGUGGCGAAGGCGGCCUUCUGGACAGUGACUGACGCUGAGACGCGAAAGCGUGGGGAGCAAACAGG
This 253-nucleotide ribosomal RNA is filed under the name uncultured bacterium. RNAcentral describes it as "partial 16S ribosomal RNA". It matches the Rfam family "Bacterial small subunit ribosomal RNA", at positions 524 to 776 of the family's 1533-position model. The record is from RNAcentral.